This is a long non-coding RNA of Pezoporus occidentalis (night parrot), 3645 nucleotides long. RefSeq lists it as uncharacterized. The transcript is spliced from 8 exons. The record is from RefSeq and is a predicted model, not a curated record. Lineage: Eukaryota; Metazoa; Chordata; Aves; Psittaciformes; Psittacidae.
CUCAGCCACUCCAAAUGAGGAGGCAGGUAAGUAACGAUGGCGCAGCUAUUUUACUUGUAGAAAGCUCCCAAAAACCUUUGAAACCUCAAUGCCCACAGCAGUUCUCCCAACAGGGUGAUGUGGUACAUGGAAGUUCCCAUUUGUCCAUCGAACAUUGCGACUCCCCUGCGGAUUUCCUUGUGCAGCUGCUGUAUCCAUGGAGCACCUUGACUCGGCACUGGAGUAUCAGGCAAGGAUUACAGGCAGUUGCAUAAGGCUUGGUUUUUGAGAGACAGGGAUUUAAGCGUGUAACUAGGGCUGCAGCUCAGACUUCUUUGCUUGAGAGCUGCAAUACAGGCUCUUGUGAGUGCAGUAAUCCCACUCUGGGUGGCUCUGCUGUUCCCAUGUAGCCUGUUUCCCUCAGUGGGAAGUUCUGCCCUCACUUUGUCUCACUGGGAUCCCCCCUCUGGCCAGCUUUUGGGUGCAUCUGCCAUGGAUGAUGCUUUCUCCUGCUUCAGGCUGAAGCCUGUGAGGAGCACAGGGACCUCUGCGCACUCACACCUUUGGAGAUGGAGCUUUGUGCUGUGUGACUUGCCCCAUAUCUAAUAAAUGCGAGCCAUUAAUUGGAUCAUUGCCCACUUCUCCAGUUAAUUUCCUGGGUAUUUUUAAAUGUUAAAAUGUAGUUUUUAUAGUCUUUCAUUAUUUUUAGCCUUAAGCUUCCCUAUAAUCGUCCCUGUAAUGUAACUGUAAAAACCUCCCAGCUUUGUAUCAUAAAAGGAGGACAUUAAUUGUCAUUUCUUGUGUACAUCAGCAAGAUCAAAACAUGCUUCCUGAUUACUUCUGUGUGUACAUACAGUCUCUUUGAUAUUUAGAUAUGAAUAAAGUGUGCGUGUGUAAUGUGAAAGUCAGCUCUUCCCUCCCUGCUGCUUGGCAGAGGCUUAUUUACCAAAUGGAGUUUAAAAUGUAGUCAGUGCCCUUCCAAAAUGAUUUCUCAACGAUGAGAGUGUCUCUGAGCACAGUGGCACAAUAUUUGCCCCCUUGGGUCAGAAGAUGCGUGCAGAGCCUCGGCCUUUUAGUGCUCAGACAGGGGCAAGCACAAACCUUUUCAUCUCCCCAAAUCGCCUGGCUGCAAGAGAAACUCCUGCCCUGGGUUUUGCUUUAGUGCACAGAUUAACAACACAGGGAGGAAUCCCAUCCCAUCCAAUCCAUCGCUGGGUUGCAGUGAAGGAUUCCUGAGGCUGGAUUUGGGACAGGGAACACCUCUCCUUGCAGAGCUUGGAAGGGCUGAAGGGAAUAACCUGGGGUGCUGCUGAGUGUAGGAGCCCACAGAGCCCCUUCCUCGCCGGUAGUGAGGAAUCCUCUGCUGCGCCACAGCCCUACUCCCAGUUUGUAAAUGUAAUCAACCUCGAGGUCUUGUUACUUCCACAGGUGCAAUUAACAUCACCAUCUGCUAAUCCCUGAUUAAUGAUGUUUACAAAUAUGCUACAACAUGUUAAAAUGUGCUGGCACUAUUAUUUCCAUUCCCUUUUUCUCCUCUCCCUGUUCCGUUGCAGCUUUCCCGGCGACGGCUUCCGUGCAUCCCACCCUUAGUGCGCAGACAGUUUGGUUUCCCUCUUUAAAAGCACUGCUCAACUCCAAACGAGCUGGGGGAAUGAGUUCAAAUCAGAAGGGAAAUUCUAACUCCUGUCCUCUGCCGCUGAGUAGAUCUUUAAGCUGGUAAUAACGUGAGACAGAGGGAAAUUAACGGCCUCGUCCUGCUCUUCCCUGGCUGAAAACGGCGGAAUUAAAGAAUUAUAAAGCUGAGUAUUUAAUUAGUGUUGAUUGUUGUUCGUGUGUUCAAUAACCACUCAUCAGGAGGGGGGUGUCCGCUGGGGCAGCGUGGCCUGGAGCACACAGGAGCCGAGGGUGUUCAUAAUUAAGGAUGCAAUUUAUUUGACAGCAGCCUCCUCCGGGGAAGCGAGCGGCAGCACUCCCUGUGCUGGAUGUGCCGAGCCCCAGAGCACUUGGGAAAUGCAUAGACCAACGUGGGCUUUUUGGCUCUUAAUAGGCAGUAGGGAUGAUCUGUGCGCUGAGCAUCUUCCUAAGGGACAGGCAUGGUCCCGUGGUGAACUGAGCCUCGGAGCACAGAGGGAGGAGGAUGAGGAUGCCGGGAGCACUGCCUCAGCUCUGGUGACACAUCCCUUGUCUCCCAGAUUUACACUCUUAUCUUUUUGCAUUGAAAGCCCUAUGUGAAGACAGAGAAGGUGGCAGGAGAUGCUGGCAGACACGAAUGCAAUGGGGGAGCCAGGGCUGUUAAGCCAAACUGUUCCCUGUGCAAAGGAUGCCAUGAGGGAUGCUGCGAGGGAUGUCACAAGGGAUGCAGCAAACGAUGCUAUCGUGGAUGCAGCAAAGGAUGCUAUGAAGGAUGCUGCGAGGGAUGCCACAAGGGAUGCAGCAAACGAUGCCAUCAUGGAUGCUAUGAAGGAUGCUGUGAGGGAGGCAGCAGAGGAUGUUGUUAAGGAUACUGCAAGGGAUGCUGCCUCCACGAGGCCACUGCUGCUCUCCUGCUGCUGCCAGCACAGGAGCUGAGUCGUGCUCUGGGCAUCACGGCUCCUGGGGUGGCUUCACCCUUGCCCUGUUCAGGUCAGAGGUUCCCAGAGCUUUCCCCAUCCCUGUGGGAGCAGGAUCAGGCCCUGCAUCCACACUGCUCUGUGUUACUGUGUGAUCGAUGCUGUCCGUCAGCACCGAGAGCUCCCGUGCACCUCUUUAAAGAACUCCAUUUACUGCUACAAUGAACACAGGCGGCUCGGCAGGGAGCGAUGGAGCCGAGGGGGAGCCUCUUUAUUUAUACAGACAGCUAAAAAGGACAACCUCACAAGAGAUGACAUUUACCCAGCAGACAGGAGCUGCUUUCCCAGGUUGGGUUCCUCCUCCUUCACACCAUCCAUUUUGGAUCUUGGAAUUCCUGCCUGCCUUCCCGGUGCCAGAGCUGGGGUGGAAGAGUUGCUCCCUGCAGCCCUGGUGCCAAACACAUCGAUUCUGGGCUGAACUGUCCCAAAGUGCAGCUGAUUCCCUCUCCCAACUGCCUUUCCCCUGGUUUCUUCUGGAAAUGGGAUUUAUUAUCCCUCUUAUACAGUGGAAUGUUGAAGGGAACUUGUUAAAGAGCUGCUGCUGCUGGGGGGGUGCUGAGACUCACUGCAGGGUUAAACAGAACUGCAGAGAAGCAAAUGAUUCCUGAAUGAACCUAUCCCUUAAUUCAUCAGUGAGAGCUCUGGAGGCAGUGCUCAGGUGCUUCCCAGGCAUCAUCUGGUGGAGCUUUCCCUUGGGAACCUCAGUUUUCCCAUCCAGGUGCCAGGACCUGGGGUAAGUCUACAGCCCAGUUGAUGCUGUUUAAUCAGCGUGAAGCUAUAGAUACGGCACUGGUGGGGUGUGCAGCUGAUGAAGUUAAGCAGCAAAUAAAGGGAAGUUCAUCUUCAUCAUGUGAUGGCAAGGAGCUGGUGGCCUCCUGCUGAGGAGAUGGGCAGUAGCAGCAGGUACUGCCCCAGCCCUUUGAGGAUGCAUUUAUAGAAUCCCAGCCUGGUUUGGGCUGGAAAGGACCUUAAAGCUCAUCCAGCUCCAACCCCUGCCACGGGCAGGGACCCCUUCCACUAGAGCAGCUUGCUCCAAGCCCUGUGUCCAGCCUGGCUU